GAUACGAUUGUGGUGUAUAUGUUAUCAAGUUUAUGCUAGCACCAGAAGAAGUGACAAGUCCUGAUUUUGUGUUCGGCAGCGAUAACGAGAGGUUGGAAGUGGUACUAAGAUUGCUAGCGAGUGAUGUCAACUCAUGCAGGAAUGAUUUGGCUUCCAAGGCUGAGGCAUAUUAUGAGCAGAGGUUUGGAAAUCAUUGAGGUUUUUUGGUAAGAAAUGAGAAUAUGACAGGCAUUAAUCAUCGAUAGGAAAGAAAGUAUUCAGACAACAUAUAGGAAUUCAACAUCAAGGAAGCUUACCAGAGAAUGUGGGCUCCAUGAGAAAGGAACUCAAUGCUCAUCUAAUCAGAUGUGAACGGCCAUCAUUGUAAACAAAAUAGUAUAACUGGUAUAGGCAUAAAAUGGGAAUAUGGGAAACAGUCAUCAGGUUGCCUUGCCCCUCCUGCACAUUCCUGUGGAGAUUUCUGGCUGAAAUAAAAACUAUGAGUUGUUUCAUCAUUUCAUAUAUACUAUGUAAAUAUUAUAUAAA
Populus nigra (black poplar) is the source of this 525-nucleotide long non-coding RNA. RefSeq lists it as uncharacterized. The record is from RefSeq and is a predicted model, not a curated record. The transcript has 2 exons. NCBI's taxonomy places the organism in Eukaryota, Viridiplantae, Streptophyta, Magnoliopsida, Malpighiales, Salicaceae.